RNAcentral lists this ribosomal RNA (254 nucleotides) under uncultured bacterium. Its description in RNAcentral is "partial 16S ribosomal RNA". It matches the Rfam family "Bacterial small subunit ribosomal RNA", at positions 524 to 776 of the family's 1533-position model. The record is from RNAcentral.
UACGUAGGGGCCUAGCGUUGUCCGGAUUUAUUGGGCGUAAAGAGCUCGUAGGCGGUUCGGCAAGUCGGAUGUGAAAUCUCCACGCUCAACGUGGAGGGGCCAUUCGAAACUGCCGUGACUCGAGUCCGGUAGGGGAGUGUGGGAUUCCCGGUGUAGCGGUGAAAUGCGCAGAUAUCGGGAGGAACACCUGUGGCGAAAGCGGCUCACUGGACCACAACUGACGCUGAGGCGCGAAAGCUAGGGGAGCAAACAGG